AUUAGGAUUUUACUAUUACCAUUUAUCGGGUUUUUUUGUUUUCACAGAAAUAUCGCGCUUUUUAAAACAACUUAUUUAUUUAAAGUAUGAAUGCUCUGCUGAAUAUACGUCUGCCUGCCUUAAGACGGCAUCAGAUCUCCCUAAAGAUGGUUGUGAGCCACAAUGUGGUUGCUGGGAAUUGAACUCAAGACUUCUGGAAGAGCAGCCAGUACUCUUAAAUGCUCUCACCAGCCCCCAAGUUAUCAUUUUCUAAAUACACUUUUCUCAAAGAAUGUUAAAAGUAAAAAGAGGAAAUAUUAAAUAUCAAAUGUACACACACCCUUAAGAACUAAGAGGGUUGAUAUUCUUCAUGUAUAUAUUUGUUUCCUCCUUGCUGUAGAUAUUGGAUCUGGUUCACAAUAACGACAAAGAUGUAGGUAUUACACAGAGUCCUUUAGAAACUUCUCCUGCUGUGUAACGCAGAAUAAAAUAUUUAACACACUCUGGGGAACAGGCAGUCCAUUGAGACUUGGUUGUCUGUCACUAGUUACAAAAGCACGCACAGCACAGGAGUCAGAGCAAUUAGUCAUUAUAAACGUCCCUGUUUAUUGCACUAGGAAUAUUGGACAUGACCUAUUUUCAGAGGCUGUGCCAGAAAAUUCUAACCACACCUUCAAGCUUGGUGCCCUUCGUCUGCUUUUGCCAAGAGGUGUAAGAAUGAUUAAUUCUCUGACCCUUAGUGUCCAUUUUCUAGAGAGACGGGCAGUUGCUGGAUUUAGUCCUCAGUGGGAUCUGAAAGCCACUGAUUACCCUGAUGGUUCUGUUGUCAUCUCUCCGGAUUCAUGAAAGGCUAAAGACAGCUUGCAGUAGAAGAGGAAGACAGGGUAUGUGCUGGCUCCCACCUCCUUAACUCCAUGUCCAGGCUCUGUGGACUUGGUUACUGUUUCCCUUAAGUUUGAUUGUAUCAAGUUCCACCCCAGAAUAUCCAGGAUUCUUUGUUCUUUCUUCCCACAACAGAGUUUCUCUGUGUAAGCUUAGCAAUCCUGGAACUCCCUCAGUAGACCAGGCUGGAUUCAAACUCAACGAGAUCCUCCUACCUCUGCUUCCCAAGUGCUGGGAUUAAAGGGUGUCGAGCUCAUGUACCUGCAGGGACUGGAUCUUCCCCUUGGGAUCUCAUACCAGGAGGAAGACUGAGGCUCCCAUGGUGGGCAGAGGGGAGCCUCUCUCCAUACAGCUCUGACGUGUCAUGAUGGGCAGGACCACAUUCUGACCUCUCACUGUUCACUUAAACCUGAACCUCAUCUUAGGACUCCCAACGACGGACUUAGCAACCGUGGAGGGCCUAACUCAGUCUCCCUGUUCUCUUCCUAGUGGAGUCACAUUGGAAUUUGGGCAGAGUCUCCAUCUACUUGAUCUUCUCUAUGACUUCAUUCCUGGCCCAGGCACGUGAACCCUGGCCUUGCGGCUAAUGCAGGACACCAGCCAUCCUCUGUGAAGUCCAGUCACUCCCCUAGCCCCACCCCUGCCAUAAGGACAGUACUGGUGAGGAGUCUGGGCACCCAGGUUAUCAGCCAGAGCUCAGCCUGCAGCUGGGAGUUGAUAGUGAGGUCAAGCACUUGGGAUGUUACCUGCCACAUUUGCCAUGUGAGGGCAGAGGAGGGAACUUACCUGAUGGCUACCUCUGUGCUGAGGUAAUUGUAACUUGGAGCCUGGUAGGGUGAUCAGGUAUCAGAGAGGCUGCAGGCAUGUGUCUAGCCUCCUAUCCUCACACACCUGCCAAUCUGGUUUCCACACCAGUGGAGGGAAAGCAUCCUUGCCCUUGCCUUCUCUGGGUGUACAAGGUUCAGUCUGCCUUUCCCUCCCAGCAAAGCCUUGGUAAACAUCCCUGCAUGUGCAGUUUCAGGCACAAAGCAGCUCUUCUGACAGCCUGUGACACCCCAGAGUGGUGCCCGGAUGGCCCAUAUACCAAAGAGAUACCAGGAGCAAAUCUGGAUCAUCCUGAGGAAACAGCAAGUCCUGCCUGCCUCCCCCAGCAGUCCAGUCUGAGAUCUGCCUGUCCCACUAGAUGUCCUGCUGGACUUCAAUGCCAGACACCACCUUAGUAGAGGGCAGGCCCUAGAGCAUGACAGGAGGCAUCUGUGGAGUUGGGAGCCUCUGCUGUCUGCAGGCAAGGCUACCCUGCCUCUGCCCAAGGCUACCCUGCCUCUGCCCAAGGCUACCCUGCCUCUGCCCAAGGCUACCCUGCCUUGGCCCUUUCUAGCUGACCCGAGUUGUCCUGAGCUUUGACCCUUUAAUCUACACCAAAGAAAUCCACAUUUCCAGGGCAGUGCCACAGGGACCUCAUACCAGUGUCACUUCCUAAUCGCAGCCCUACCUUCCUGUGUCUUCACCCUUCACAGGACUCCCUCCCGAUGGCCUCUAAGCCCACCCUGUGGCCUGCAGUAGCUCCUGUCCACAGCACCUCAGCAAACACCCAGGCAUUUCCCAGUGGACAGAUAUCCCUCCCUCCCUCCCCCUGCAAUAGCUGACCUCAUCCCCAUGUGCCUUGAUCCCAGGGAGAGAGAGCUCAGUUCGCCCAGACAUCCUCUACCAUGACUGAGCACACUUGGGAAGGAGGACAGUUCACCUUCUCCGAAGCCACAACCCGCAUGGCUGCUCUUUAUUUAUUAAAAGGCCACUGUUGGCUGGGGUUCAGGCCUACAGUUACUUUCUUUAGUCCAGCAUGUUGCUGUUUUCUCUCAGGAUCCUUCAAAGGAAGAAGCACUUCGGGGAAGGAUCCAGUGAAGCAGUCGCAUGAAACAGGGAAGGCAGCAGACGGCUCACAGAGCCCGACUCCAUGAAGAGAAUUUAGGCACAGGCUUGGGACACCUGCACAAACCCCUGCAGCUCCUUGGUAACAGAGCCUGACAGGCACCGACUGGCCCAGGAGCCCCUGCAGGCUGUUCCUGCUGGUGGGGGAGAAGGGCCAAAGCACUCUUAGGACUCCCAGUCAUCCUCGUCCUCGUCUCCUGCUGGCUGCUGUGGGGGCGGCAGAGGUGGAAUGGAGUCUGACAUUCGACUGAAGGCUCCACCAGGCCCCUCACUGGUGCCAGUGCCAGGUCCUUUUCCAGAGAUACCUGGGAGGGAGAGGCGAUGAGAGAGAGAC
Rattus norvegicus (Norway rat) is the source of this 3124-nucleotide non-coding RNA. The record is from RefSeq and is a predicted model, not a curated record. Lineage: Eukaryota; Metazoa; Chordata; Mammalia; Rodentia; Muridae.